AUGGGAUUACGUGUCUUUAGAGAGUAAAUAUAAUUAAAGGAAGUAAAUAUAAUUAUUGUUAGGUAUUUUUGAGAGGGUAAAUAUAAUUAGGGAGAAGUAAAGAACAAUUAUGGGAUUAAUACAUUCUAAUUUAGUAAAAUUUUAUUAAAUUUAAUUUUCAAUUCUUAAUUUACCAAAAGAAACUAUCCUUUUUUUUAAAUCUUAUGGUGUAUAAGAUUAUAAAAUGACUCGAUUAAGUAUAAUUCACAUACUGCAAUCCAAAUUGCCAUACCAAUUAAGCCUACCCCUUCAUACCCUAGAUCCAGCCAAGUGGCGUACCACAUCCCUAUGCCUAUACCACAUACCAAGGGGUACAACAUUCUAGGUAACUAUAUCUUGCCUUUAUAGCCUCUAGAACCACUUGGCAAUAUCAUUCCACCAACCAGAUUUUGAAUUCAGUACAAAUAGAAAGUAUAAUACAAGGGAAAAAGCAGGGAAAUACAUUGACAAAAUCAAUACCAAAGAUGAGUGAGACAUUUCAUAUUCCACAUGGAUGCACCGUAUAAAUGAAACAAGAUCUAAAUUCAAAAAAGAUACUAAGGCAGGUAUCACCGGUGCACAUUGGACUAAUACAGUUUCUCCACACACACACACACUCCCCCAAAGAAAGAAAGAAAGAAAAAGAA
RNAcentral lists this unclassified non-coding RNA (665 nucleotides) under Hevea brasiliensis (rubber tree). The record is from RNAcentral. Lineage: Eukaryota; Viridiplantae; Streptophyta; Magnoliopsida; Malpighiales; Euphorbiaceae.